AUACUUACCUGGCAGGGGAGAUACCAUGAUCACGAAGGUGGUUUUCCCAGGGCGAGGCUUAUCCAUUGCACUCCGGAUGUGCUGACCCCUGCGAUUUCCCCAAAUGUGGGAAACUCGACUGCAUAAUUUGUAGUAGUGGGGGACUGCGUUCGUGCUUUCCCCUG
Molecule: small nuclear RNA, 164 nt
Organism: Panthera leo (lion)
Lineage: Eukaryota; Metazoa; Chordata; Mammalia; Carnivora; Felidae
Gene: U1
Rfam family: U1 spliceosomal RNA
About the family: U1 is a small nuclear RNA (snRNA) component of the spliceosome (involved in pre-mRNA splicing).
Source: Ensembl